RNAcentral lists this ribosomal RNA (253 nucleotides) under uncultured bacterium. RNAcentral describes it as "partial 16S ribosomal RNA". It matches the Rfam family "Bacterial small subunit ribosomal RNA", at positions 524 to 776 of the family's 1533-position model. The record is from RNAcentral.
UACAGAGGUCCCAAGCGUUGUUCGGAUUCACUGGGCGUAAAGGGUGCGUAGGCGGUCGGGUAAGUCUGAUGUGAAAUCUCACAGCUUAACUGUGAAACUGCAUUGGAUACUAUCCGGCUAGAGGAAUGGAGGGGAGACUGGAAUACUUGGUGUAGCAGUGAAAUGCGUAGAUAUCGUAAGGAAGACCAGUGGCGAAGGCGAGUCUCUGGACAGUUACUGACGCUGAGGCACGAAGGCCAGGGGAGCAAACGGG